CCUCUGUUCCAGCCGCAAACUUUUCCAUCUCGAAAACUCCCAUAGGUCCAUUCCAAAUGACUGUUUGUGUUGUGUCCAGAGCUUCGUUGAAAGUUUUGAUAGAGUCUGGACCAAUGUCCAGUCCCAUCCAUCCGUCCUCAAUGCCUGAUGCAGGCACAAUCUACAAACAUCCACAUGACAUACUUUA
Molecule: small RNA, 187 nt
Filed under: Arabidopsis thaliana (thale cress)
Lineage: Eukaryota; Viridiplantae; Streptophyta; Magnoliopsida; Brassicales; Brassicaceae
Description: ATSL136910
Source: RNAcentral